Molecule: ribosomal RNA, 640 nt
Filed under: uncultured Pseudomonadota bacterium
Lineage: Bacteria; Pseudomonadati; Pseudomonadota
Description: bacterial SSU rRNA
Rfam family: Bacterial small subunit ribosomal RNA
Source: RNAcentral
AUUCAGCGGCGGACGGGUGAGUAAUGCCUAGGAAUCUGCCUGGUAGUGGGGGACAACGUUUCGAAAGGAACGCUAAUACCGCAUACGUCCUACGGGAGAAAGCAGGGGACCUUCGGGCCUUGCGCUAUCAGAUGAGCCUAGGUCGGAUUAGCUAGUUGGUGAGGUAAUGGCUCACCAAGGCGACGAUCCGUAACUGGUCUGAGAGGAUGAUCAGUCACACUGGAACUGAGACACGGUCCAGACUCCUACGGGAGGCAGCAGUGGGGAAUAUUGGACAAUGGGCGAAAGCCUGAUCCAGCCAUGCCGCGUGUGUGAAGAAGGUCUUCGGAUUGUAAAGCACUUUAAGUUGGGAGGAAGGGCAGUAAGUUAAUACCUUGCUGUUUUGACGUUACCGACAGAAUAAGCACCGGCUAACUCUGUGCCAGCAGCCGCGGUAAUACAGAGGGUGCAAGCGUUAAUCGGAAUUACUGGGCGUAAAGCGCGCGUAGGUGGUUCGUUAAGUUGGAUGUGAAAGCCCCGGGCUCAACCUGGGAACUGCAUCCAAAACUGGCGAGCUAGAGUAUGGUAGAGGGUGGUGGAAUUUCCUGUGUAGCGGUGAAAUGCGUAGAUAUAGGAAGGAACACCAGUGGCGAAGGCGACC